UACGAAGGGGGCUAGCGUUGCUCGGAAUCACUGGGCGUAAAGCGCACGUAGGCGGCUUGUUAAGUCAGGGGUGAAAUCCUGGAGCUCAACUCCAGAACUGCCUUUGAUACUGGCGAGCUUGAGUCCGGGAGAGGUGAGUGGAACUGCGAGUGUAGAGGUGAAAUUCGUAGAUAUUCGCAAGAACACCAGUGGCGAAGGCGGCUCACUGGCCCGGUACUGACGCUGAGGUGCGAAAGCGUGGGGAGCAGACAGG
Molecule: ribosomal RNA, 253 nt
Filed under: uncultured bacterium
Lineage: Bacteria
Description: partial 16S ribosomal RNA
Rfam family: Bacterial small subunit ribosomal RNA
Source: RNAcentral